Long non-coding RNA from Homo sapiens (human), 702 nucleotides. RefSeq lists it as uncharacterized. The transcript has 3 exons. NCBI's taxonomy places the organism in Eukaryota, Metazoa, Chordata, Mammalia, Primates, Hominidae. The record is from RefSeq and is a predicted model, not a curated record.
GUCAUUGAUUAAAUGCCGCAGCUCGCCGGGAGCCAUUUAUCAAUUUCAUCAGCUGCUUAUGGCUUUAUUUACUACAAAGGAAGCAAGGUAAUCCCUGUAAACUCAAUAGAUCUAAAUUAACUGAACGUUCAGGAGCCAGCUUAGAAAGAAUUAUUGCUCCCUGACUCAGUGGGCCAGAGAAAAGGAAUGAACACAGGAACCUGUAACAGAGGCUCUGAGAGGUUCUCUGGCAUCCAGGAGGGUCGCUUCACAAAGGACACCUGCUUGACUGGGUCUCUAUUAACCAGGUUUCUCUGCAUAGAGUCCAGGCUGAGUUGCACAGAGUAGGCAGUCCCUUCAGGAAGAGAAGGUGUUUGUAAACUGGGCCAGAGCAAGGACAUGCGGGACCCCCGCAGAGUGAACUGACAGAUCUUGAUGUUGUGAGUAUCUGGAAGAGAGGUGGACACCCUCCCUCGGGGAGCUAAAGGCACACCUGGCCCAGGGGUUGGAGAAGCUGAAGGAGCCAGCAGGAGGAGAUGGAGCAGCAGAAGGAGGUGGAGCAGCAGGAGGAGGUGGAGUAGUCACAGUCCCACACCGCUGCCCCAUGCCAUGAAGGUGAGCCAGCAGAGGCUGAUGGGGCAGCACAGUGAAGAUGGCACCUGUCAAGUCAAGAGAUGGAAAAGCUGUAACUGAACCCUGAAAGUCGCUUAACCUGGGACCUUG